GCCCGCAUAGCUCAGGGGUAGAGCGUAUCACUAGUAACAAUUCUGGAUCAUGAUAAGGUCAUCAGUUCAAUUCUGAUUGUGGGCA
This is a non-coding RNA of Podospora didyma, 85 nucleotides long. The record is from the annotation of a GenBank genome assembly. NCBI's taxonomy places the organism in Eukaryota, Fungi, Ascomycota, Sordariomycetes, Sordariales, Podosporaceae.